GCUGGUGUAGCUCAGUUGGUUAGAGCGUGUGGUGUUUAAACCACAAGGCCGAAGGUUCAAGCCCUUUCUCCAGCA
RNAcentral lists this transfer RNA (75 nucleotides) under Thalictrum thalictroides. It matches the Rfam family "tRNA". From Rfam's summary of the family: Transfer RNA (tRNA) molecules are approximately 80 nucleotides in length. Their secondary structure includes four short double-helical elements and three loops (D, anti-codon, and T loops). Further hydrogen bonds mediate the characteristic L-shaped molecular structure. tRNAs have two regions of fundamental functional importance: the anti-codon, which is responsible for specific mRNA codon recognition, and the 3' end, to which the tRNAs corresponding amino acid is attached (by aminoacyl-tRNA synthetases). tRNAs cope with the degeneracy of the genetic code in two manners: having more than one tRNA (with a specific anti-codon) for a particular amino acid; and 'wobble' base-pairing, i.e. permitting non-standard base-pairing at the 3rd anti-codon position. The record is from Rfam by way of RNAcentral. Lineage: Eukaryota; Viridiplantae; Streptophyta; Magnoliopsida; Ranunculales; Ranunculaceae.